GCCAUUCAUUUUAAUAACACCCUGAGCAGUUUGAUUUCCACGGAACACGCUGGUGAUUAGAGAGCAGCAGGAGCUUGGGUUCCCUAGCAACAGCAUGUGCUUUUGAGACAGUCAUUAGCCUUUCAGUUAAUCCCAUCAACCCCUUACCUCUAAAUGUAUGACUGACAUAAAAAAAAUGAUGUUUUAGAAAGUGCUUUGAAAUUUCCAGGAGUGCAAUGGAAGGGAAUAAUCAUAAUUAAAAAGUUGUCUGGAGAACUACACUCCAGUGAAGGAAGUAAUGUUCCUACGUGCCAAGCCUGUCCGUAUAUUUCCCUGCUCUCAGUUGUAGGUUUCUGAAUCCCCUGUGGCAAAGGGCAAGGGAGGUGAAAUUGUUCAGAGUUUCAGGCAGUCUUCUCACCUAAAGUGAGUAGUAUUGCAAUGUCUCUUGGAAUCAUGGCUCUGAAGAUGAGGAGAGAAGCGGGAUGGGCAGUUUGUGUGGUGAGGAGGCUGGCUGCAGGUAGGCUGGGAGGGAAUGUCACACAUAGUUUUCUUUCUCCUUUAAGCCGAAUGAGGUAUGCUGGUCAAAGGAACUUGGGGAAGGAGGAUGGUGAGGGGAAUGAAGUUCUUCUUCCUAUUGAUUGUUUUGUUGCACCAGAGGCUGUUUGUCCAAGGCCACUGGCCAAGAGCAUUAUUUUCGUGGCUAAAGUGAGGUUGGGCAGGUUUCCCAUCCCUUUCACUAGUUUUGAACAAGACAACCCAGAAAGCGCAGCAAGGCUCUGGGAAUAUGAUGUGGGUUGGCUUUUCCUACUCAGCUGCACCUUAAAGCGCCAGGCCGAUGGGCUGAUACUUCUCAAACCCUGAAUCAUUGCCUCCAGCUCUGUCCUGGGUUCAGGAUGCACCACUCCACCCUCUGUGUAGCUUGGGGUCAACUUCGGGGCGUCACUCCAAUAGUAAUUAUUGCUGCGUUUGGCUGGACAUCCUUAUUACGGCCUGGGUCCCUCUCAGCUGGAAACUGGGCUCCUUCAGUUUGGCUGGGGUGACUUCUAGCACUUCCCGCCGCCCCACCUUACCCCCCUGCGCGCUCCCUUCCCAAGGCGACCACCUGCACCGCCCCACUUACCAUCUGCCCCGCGGGGAGGGCCCCCCGGGCUAGCGGAGCCCUCCCUGCUCCCGGGCGGCUCUGGAGGAGCUCGGUGUUUGCCUCUAGCCCUUCGCUACCGGAGGAUCAGGUUCCUCCCCUCCUCCCCCUCCAGCUCCGGCCGCCGCCGCCGCCGCCGCCGCCUCCUUCUUGCAUGACACAGCAGAACCGCAGCUGCUGCAGCAAUUUCAAGCCAUCCGCCCAGGAAGCGCCGCAACCGGGACUCGGGAGGGGUGGAGGGGGCGAGGCAGAGGCCGCGGCCCCAGGGGAUCCUUGGCCCCACUGUGCACCACACACUCCUUUCCCAGCCCAGGGGCACGCGAACAAAAUGAGGCUCAAGCUGACCAGGCCGAGCCGGAGGAACGCUGGGGCUUGGCAGCAGAAGGGAUGGGACCAGAGAGAAGGGUGUGGAGGAGACCCCAGUGAGGGCCAGGACAUUUCAGGUAAAGAGAGGUAAGAAGAGGCCCAGAAGUCAAGGGCCAGACUGUGAAGGUGAUUAGAGGUCAAAAGAGGUAAGGAGGUAGAGUUGCAAAGAAGAGAGGCCGAGCUGGGAAGGGCGUGGGGGUGGGGGUAGCUGCAGGGGAGGGUGGGGGGUACAGUCUUUGGGGAGGCCCGAGCUGAGCCCCCAGGCAGAAAAGGGGCUGAGUUGGGAGGCAAGGGAGGUAGGAGGAAAGGGAUGAAAAGAAUUAGGCAUGAGAUAGGAAGGUAAAACUUGGGAGAGAUAUUAUAGAAUUAGAAGGGUUGGAAUGGAGCUCAUUCAUCAUGGCUGAUGAAGUAAACUGAUGAGGUGGAGAGAGACAGAGUCAAGGCAAGGCCAAACGAAAAGAUCUUCCAUCCCACUCUUCAGUUUCUUGCGAAGUUUUUCUUGAUUCCGCCAAUCCACACAGUUUCCUUUAUAAAAUGGAAAAGCAUGAACUAAAAAACCCAGAAAUAGCUAUCUGGCUUAGAUUUACAGGAUAAAAUCUCCAUGUCUGUAAAAACUUUAAGGCAGAAAUUUGGGAUUUAUGGUACAAACCCUUUAAGGGACUGUGAGUCAGUAAUACCCACAGCACUCAACAUUGUGAGUUUCCACACAUCCCUGGACUUGAGUGAGUCUUUCCAAGUGUUUGUUAAUGGUACAAAUGAUGACAAAAUUAGUGGUUCAAAAAUAUUAAAGUGCACAUGCUUUUUGCUUUCUCUAUGUAUACAGAGAUUACAUAUAUGUAUACUUUCUAGCGUCUAGCAAGUAUGGUAUGGCUAGGGAUAAUUAUGUUUUUCUGAUUAUUUUGUUUCCCAUCAAACACCCCACGAAUUUUACAGCAGACCGCCUUCUUGUCACCAUUUGAAAGAAUGUGGUCAGAAAAGUAAUGCAAAAACUGCCACUUUGGUUUUGUCUGUACCUUCCAGGUCAUAUCUCCGUACCUCACUUCCUGACACAAACAAGUUUUCACUGUUGUCAGCAACAAAGCCCUAAUAUAGCUGCGGAAGAGAAAAACUGCAUUGCAUUUUGCCUCCUGCAAGCAUCAUCAACAGUUACUGGAGGAACGUAAUUCCAGAAAGCUUGAAAGCCGUGGUGAUGGUAAUUAUGUAUCAAAUGCCUGGUUCUAUUUCUGUUAUUAUUGUUUUGUCAUUUCUGUUUUCCCAGCGAUCUGACUGAACUCGCAGAGGGACAAAUCCAGUUUUUCUUUUUGACUUUUGUCAAACUAAAUCAGGCCUGAUAGAAAACUCAUUGCUCUCCGGGGAAACAAAGUAGGAGCCACGAAAUGUCAUUUUAACAGAGCGUGGGUUUGGUGACUGUAGGAAAGGAUUUGAGGACGCUCCUUCUGUUCGGCUUCCUAUGUCAUGAGCACAGGCUCCACGCACGCACAGACACCACGGCUCCCGGAUGCUGUGGCUCCCCGAUCGGGGCUCCUGCAGCGCCAGAAGCCCCUCCGGGAUGCUUCGAGGGGCUCCCGGUGGGUGGAGGUACGGACGCCGCUGCGGCCGCCGCCGCCAGUCCUGCUGCUGUUGUUGCUGCUGCAGUCACGUGGGAGCCCCUUUAAGUUUCCAUAGAGAGGCCUCUCUGGUGUCACAUGAUGGACAUGAUAUAAUGAAACAACAUUGUGGAGAGGAAAGCAUUAGGGGAGCCCACGGCUACAAAAACAAGUGAGUGAGAAGAGGUGGGAGGAAGAGAAACUACGCCACCUCCCCUGCAGCCGAGUGCACGCAGCAGCCUGGCGUGACAAGUGGGCGACGCCGGGGGGCAGGGAGCCGGGGUCCUUGGCCCUGGCCGGGGACCCCACCGCCCACCGCGCGGAGGACAACUUUUAGCCGGCAGCCCAGACCAGCGCGGCACCUGUCUCCGGAGUCUCCACCGCUCCUCCCGAUUCAUCCCAGGGAAAUUCUCAAGAAUACGCUCUACAAAUCUACGUGCGCAUCAUUUUCACCUCGCGUCGCGCCCGGGAGGAAGGAACGAGGCAAGGAGCUAAAGCAGCGUGCGUUCAGCCCUGGGGCAUUUUAUUAAUGCUUUUACGAGUUAGAAGAGUUGGGAUAAUUUGCCAUCUGGAGUUUCUCUGCCUUGCUGAUCUGAGCUCAGACCUGCCAAUUUACCAGAGAUAAUUGAUAACACCCUGUAACAGCUGAGAGGAAAAUGGAAGAAACGGAGAUACUUUUAGUGAAGCAGAAUAAACCACUGAACAGGAAAAAUGAGGAAGCUGUGAGUACCAGUGGAAGGAACGAGCCAGGAAGAGGGACUGGAACCAUCUCAGAAGCCAUGCCCCUCAGGCUGGAACUUGCCCUGUCUCCUCGCAGAUGAGACUGAGUGUACUUGGUCUGGUAUUUGUGGCAUAACUUACGGAACACAUAAGAAUGAUACAGAUACUAUUUAAUGAUGACCUAAUACAAGCUUAGAUAGCUAAGGUGAAAGCUUCUAUGGCCUUAACAUUUUCCUCUUGAAGAAUGUAUUUUCUGUAAUAAAAUACAGUGGCUACUUGAAAUCUAUAAACUUAUGUGAGGUCUGGAUAAAUCUGAGCAACUUUCUUCUUUGUGCUCCAGGAACCUACGCACUAUAUAUAUAAAUAAAGCUUAAGUAAACAUCACUGCAAUCUGUGUUUUGUUUGAUUAUAUUACGUAUUGCCUGAUCUUUAAAUAAUGAUGAAAAAUAGCCUUUAACAUAAACCAUGAAUGGAUAUGCACUUGAGGGAAACAGUUUCUUGGAUAAUUAAACUUUAAUUUCUCACCGUGGAUUCCUUGGAUCUUGUAAUAUUUUUUAAAACAGUCCUGGGGAUUUAUUUUUAAGGCGUCCAAAUGAAUUAUUA
This 4392-nucleotide long non-coding RNA is filed under the name Homo sapiens (human). Its description in RNAcentral is "HSALNT0343418". Lineage: Eukaryota; Metazoa; Chordata; Mammalia; Primates; Hominidae. The record is from RNAcentral.